RNAcentral lists this ribosomal RNA (1481 nucleotides) under uncultured organism. RNAcentral's name for it is "SSU rRNA". It matches the Rfam family "Bacterial small subunit ribosomal RNA". The record is from RNAcentral.
CUCAGGAUGAACGCUGGCGGCGUGCCUAAUACAUGCAAGUCGAACGAGUUCUGAUUAUUGAAAGGUGCUUGCAUCUUGAUUUAAUUUUGAACGAGUGGCGGACGGGUGAGUAACACGUGGGUAACCUGCCCUUAAGUGGGGGAUAACAUUUGGAAACAGAUGCUAAUACCGCAUAAAUCCAAGAACCGCAUGGUUCUUGGCUGAAAGAUGGCGUAAGCUAUCGCUUUUGGAUGGACCCGCGGCGUAUUAGCUAGUUGGUGAGGUAACGGCUCACCAAGGCAAUGAUACGUAGCCGAACUGAGAGGUUGAUCGGCCACAUUGGGACUGAGACACGGCCCAAACUCCUACGGGAGGCAGCAGUAGGGAAUCUUCCACAAUGGACGCAAGUCUGAUGGAGCAACGCCGCGUGAGUGAAGAAGGCUUUCGGGUCGUAAAACUCUGUUGUUGGAGAAGAAUGGUCGGCAGAGUAACUGUUGUCGGCGUGACGGUAUCCAACCAGAAAGCCACGGCUAACUACGUGCCAGCAGCCGCGGUAAUACGUAGGUGGCAAGCGUUAUCCGGAUUUAUUGGGCGUAAAGCGAGCGCAGGCGGUUUUUUAAGUCUGAUGUGAAAGCCCUCGGCUUAACCGAGGAAGUGCAUCGGAAACUGGGAAACUUGAGUGCAGAAGAGGACAGUGGAACUCCAUGUGUAGCGGUGAAAUGCGUAGAUAUAUGGAAGAACACCAGUGGCGAAGGCGGCUGUCUGGUCUGUAACUGACGCUGAGGCUCGAAAGCAUGGGUAGCGAACAGGAUUAGAUACCCUGGUAGUCCAUGCCGUAAACGAUGAAUGCUAGGUGUUGGAGGGUUUCCGCCCUUCAGUGCCGCAGCUAACGCAUUAAGCAUUCCGCCUGGGGAGUACGACCGCAAGGUUGAAACUCAAAGGAAUUGACGGGGGCCCGCACAAGCGGUGGAGCAUGUGGUUUAAUUCGAAGCAACGCGAAGAACCUUACCAGGUCUUGACAUCUUUUGAUCACCUGAGAGAUCAGGUUUCCCCUUCGGGGGCAAAAUGACAGGUGGUGCAUGGUUGUCGUCAGCUCGUGUCGUGAGAUGUUGGGUUAAGUCCCGCAACGAGCGCAACCCUUAUGACUAGUUGCCAGCAUUUAGUUGGGCACUCUAGUAAGACUGCCGGUGACAAACCGGAGGAAGGUGGGGAUGACGUCAAAUCAUCAUGCCCCUUAUGACCUGGGCUACACACGUGCUACAAUGGAUGGUACAACGAGUUGCGAGACCGCGAGGUCAAGCUAAUCUCUUAAAGCCAUUCUCAGUUCGGACUGUAGGCUGCAACUCGCCUACACGAAGUCGGAAUCGCUAGUAAUCGCGGAUCAGCACGCCGCGGUGAAUACGUUCCCGGGCCUUGUACACACCGCCCGUCACACCAUGAGAGUUUGUAACACCCGAAGCCGGUGGCGUAACCCUUUUAGGGAGCGAGCCGUCUAAGGUGGG